This 258-nucleotide long non-coding RNA is filed under the name Macaca mulatta (Rhesus monkey). RNAcentral describes it as "lncRNA (ENSMMUG00000037454.2)". Lineage: Eukaryota; Metazoa; Chordata; Mammalia; Primates; Cercopithecidae. The record is from RNAcentral.
GUAACAGGAAACUGCCUUCUGGAUUUGUGGAAAGUUCACCAGUAGGAAGCUCCUAUGGCAACUGGGAAGGUUAGCUUCCUGGCUGCUCACAAAGAUUUUCCUGCAUGCCACUGCUCUCCAGAAAUCCACCAACAUUCACGUAGACUUCUCAAUGAAUGGCACGGAAAGAUUCUUCUUAAGGCAUCUUCAAAUUCAGAGAAUCAACCUGGACUUUUGGACCUUUUUUUCCCUCAACGUGGAUCAAAUGUUGGACUUUUC